CCUUCGCUUGCAGAGAGAAAUCACAGUGUGGUCAAAAGCUUUUUAAGUCUUUUUUAAAGUCUCUUUCCUCUGUGAUUCUCUGUGCAAGCUAAAG
Molecule: microRNA precursor, 94 nt
Filed under: Camelina sativa (false flax)
Lineage: Eukaryota; Viridiplantae; Streptophyta; Magnoliopsida; Brassicales; Brassicaceae
Description: miR173 stem-loop (cas-MIR173)
Gene: cas-MIR173
Source: miRBase by way of RNAcentral